AGGGGAAUAGCUGGGUUGAAUGGUGGUUCCAUUCCCAGCUUUCUGAGGAAUCUCCACACUGAUUUCCAAAUUGGUUGCACCAAUUUGCAGUCCCACCAGCAAU
This 103-nucleotide microRNA precursor is filed under the name Marmota monax (woodchuck). The record is from RNAcentral. Lineage: Eukaryota; Metazoa; Chordata; Mammalia; Rodentia; Sciuridae.